GAUGAACGCUGGCGGCGUGCUUAAUACAUGCAAGUCGAACGGACAGGCGCUGCGUUUGUUGGGUGCUCGUUUGGCGAGCGGGUGUGUAACACGUGUGUAAACUGCCCCUAACUUUGUGAUAUCUUCUGGAAAAUGGGGCUAAUACACGAGAGGAGCUACUGCUGCAUGGUGGGGGUUAGUAAAAUUCGGUGGUAGGGGAUGUACUCGAGGCUUAUCAGCUAGUUUGUGGGGUAGUGGCUUACCAAGGCUUUGACGGAUAGCCGGCCUGAGAGGUUGACCAGCGACAUUGGGACUGAGAUACGGCCCAGUCUCCUACGUGAGGCAGAAGUGGAGAAUUUGGCACAGCAGGCGGAAGCCUGAUGUAGCAACGCCGCGAUCGGAAUGCCGGGCUACGAGUUGUAAACCGAUUUCGCCUGUGACGAAGAGUAAGUGACGGUAAUGGGUAAGGGAGCACCGGCUAACUACGUG
This 468-nucleotide ribosomal RNA is filed under the name uncultured bacterium. Its description in RNAcentral is "partial 16S ribosomal RNA". It matches the Rfam family "Bacterial small subunit ribosomal RNA", at positions 28 to 507 of the family's 1533-position model. The record is from RNAcentral.